CCUACGGGUGGCAGCAGUGAGGAAUAUUGGUCAAUGGGAGAGAUCCUGAACCAGCCAAGCCGCGUGAGGGAAGACGGCCCUAUGGGUUGUAAACCUCUUUUGUCGGAGAACAAAACCCGGGACGUGUCCCGGACUGCGUGUAUCCGAAGAAAAAGCAUCGGCUAACUCCGUGCCAGCAGCCGCGGUAAUACGGAGGAUGCGAGCGUUAUCCGGAUUUAUUGGGUUUAAAGGGUGCGUAGGCGGUCCGUUAAGUCAGCGGUAAAAGUGCGGGGCUCAACCCCGUCGAGCCGUUGAAACUGGCAGACUUGAGUUGGCGAGAGGUACGCGGAAUGCGCGGUGUAGCGGUGAAAUGCAUAGAUAUUAGGAAGAACACCAGUGGCGAAGGCGGCUUUCUGGACGGAAACUGACGCUGAGGCUCGAAAGCGUGGGGAGCGAACAGGAUUAGAUACCCCGGUAGUC
Molecule: ribosomal RNA, 459 nt
Filed under: uncultured bacterium
Lineage: Bacteria
Description: partial 16S ribosomal RNA
Rfam family: Bacterial small subunit ribosomal RNA
Source: RNAcentral